CAAGGUAUAAGACUCUUCUUCCCGAAUUUACUACAUACACUUAUUAACUUCCCGUCUAACGACCAACAAACUACGUAAACACGAGCAGCCGCCCUGCCACGUUCCGCGUUGAGGCUGCGCCAAGGAGCGGCCAACCUACCGCAAGUCCGCGUUGGGGCCGCACGUGACUCAUGACGGAGCCGAUGUUGGAGAGAGCCACUUGACAUCGCUGUAGCACACGCACCCCCAGUUCGUGCUAUCGCGACUACCCACGGCAGAGGCAGCUGACCUCUUGGCGUCCAGCGCCGAGUGCGGCGACGAGAUGACCCCAGUAGUCGGAAACAUGAGCGCAACGCGCACGUGAGUCACUUGGUUGUCUCAGCACCUACGUCACACUCGCCAUUCGGUCUCGGCGUUAAGCAACUUGUACCCCACGAUAACACUACUAGAGUACGGAGUGCGAGAUAUCUCCAUGGGUGGUAACUCUGAAGACCCUUUGUGACGAGGCUGGCCGACCUCCACAGCGGCAGCCACUUUCUCGCGGUACCUCUCCUCUCGAAAGCGGUGAAGGAGGUGGUGCUGUAAAGUUUCGUCAACAACGGAGGGGUAGCGAGUCAUCGUGCUCGUCGCCACCUUCGUCCUGGUACGGCAGAACCUGGUCCAGCGCAGGGGUCUUCACCUGUUACUUCCGGAAACUGUCGAUACAAAGGUACUUUACGUUUGACGCCGCCUACUGGUGUGAGGAGGUAUCUCUGUUC
RNAcentral lists this ribosomal RNA (737 nucleotides) under Triticum aestivum (bread wheat). RNAcentral describes it as "partial small subunit ribosomal RNA". Lineage: Eukaryota; Viridiplantae; Streptophyta; Magnoliopsida; Poales; Poaceae. The record is from RNAcentral.